GACAGCAGUCGCCGCGGGAAUACGAAGGGUGCAAGCGUUACUCGGAAUUACUGGGCGUAAAGCGUGCGUAGGUGGUGGUUUAAGUCCGUUGUGAAAGCCCUGGGCUCAACCUGGGAAUUGCAGUGGAUACUGGGUCACUAGAGUGUGGUAGAGGAUAGUGGAAUUUCCGGUGUAGCAGUGAAAUGCGUAGAGAUCGGAAGGAACAUCUGUGGCGAAGGCGACUAUCUGGGCCAACACUGACACUGAGGCACGAAAGCGUGGGGAGCAAACAGGAUUAGAUACCCCCGUAGUCCCUGUCUCUUAUAC
This 306-nucleotide ribosomal RNA is filed under the name uncultured bacterium. RNAcentral describes it as "partial 16S ribosomal RNA". It matches the Rfam family "Bacterial small subunit ribosomal RNA", at positions 507 to 807 of the family's 1533-position model. The record is from RNAcentral.